This is a non-coding RNA of Cricetulus griseus (Chinese hamster), 546 nucleotides long. The record is from RefSeq and is a predicted model, not a curated record. NCBI's taxonomy places the organism in Eukaryota, Metazoa, Chordata, Mammalia, Rodentia, Cricetidae.
AACAUCUACAAGGCCCAAGACUGGAUUCCCAUGGCAAGCAGCAACAACAGGAUAGACAGUGGCAAGAAGCAAGGCAAGCAGGCGACAUACUGUUUUCCUCUGACAUGUCUAAAUGGAGACUGUCCUCCAGAGCCAGUUGCAGCAAGUUCCCAGCCUGAUUAUUCAAGCAGUUCUACCGGUUGAAAAGUGACAUUCUCAGUGCUCAGUUCCCACUGACUCGAUGCAUAUCUGCUCCUGAACUCAGCUGCUGUUUUUCUGACCUGGUGGUUUUGCUGGGUGUUUUUGGAGAAUCCAUUCACUUUUGUAAUAAAAAUGACCAUCUUUUGCCCAUGUUGAUACAGACUACAGGGAUGGUAGCCCCCUUUCUGUCAGCUUGCUUCUCUUUUAGACAUCCCCCAAACUUGUUAGCUAUAUGCUUUUCUGACAAGUUCUUGUCUUUUUCCCAUGCUGCUGUAGAAUUCUAAAUUGUCUGUCUGAAUUUUCAGUCACUUCAAUGGGAUUUGAAGGAGGAGUUUUUAAUAAAUGUUGAUUGAAUUUAUUGGCUAA